This 26-nucleotide non-coding RNA is filed under the name Mus musculus (house mouse). The record is from RNAcentral. Lineage: Eukaryota; Metazoa; Chordata; Mammalia; Rodentia; Muridae.
AAGGAAUUUGUUUGGAUUUUUGCUUC